Molecule: long non-coding RNA, 1023 nt
Filed under: Salvia miltiorrhiza (redroot sage)
Lineage: Eukaryota; Viridiplantae; Streptophyta; Magnoliopsida; Lamiales; Lamiaceae
Description: long non-coding RNA (SMIL_LNC012353)
Source: RNAcentral
CAAUUCUUGCCCCUUCAACUAAAAGCGUUAAAUAAACGCAAAAACUUGGGUGAGGUCAACCUCACCGCAUGAGACGGGUUUGCCCGACCCGAAUUCGCACCCGGCCCGACCCGUAGUAACAAAAUAUAAAAGCCUUUUUUCUAAUUAUUUUGCCCGAUAUUUCUCUCCGCCGCUUCAAUUCUCUCUCUCGGCUCUUUCAAUUCUUCUCUCGCCGCUUCAAUUAUUCGCUCAAGUCCACCGCUUCAAGUUCGUCUUCGAUUUCUCCGUUCACCGGUGUGAUUCCGUUCUUCGUUUCCGAUCAAGGUACGUCUUCUUCAUUUUUUCUUCAUUUUUCCUCAGUUUUUUCCUCUUCUCACUGUGCUUGAUUUUCGAUUCUCUUCUUCUAGGUUCUCCGGCGUGAAUUUCGGCGUGUUUUACGUGAUUCCUCAGUUUAUAAUUUUUCUUCGCUUUUCUUCAGCAGCGGCGGCGGAAAUUCUGUAGUGAAGGAGUUAGGGCACGGCCUUGUUUUUGUUGUGCGGAGAGGAAAGACAGAGACAAAAAUGGAGUUUGGAUAGGGGCGGAGGAAUAAAAGGGUACCUCCAAGUUUUUGCCUUGGAGAAUUAACUUCACAGAAGAGAGAGGGCCAUCCCACGACAUUUUGAUCCCAAACGAUCUCUGGCCGCUAUUUCUGACAAGGAGCAUUUCGUGGGAGCCCAGAAAACUGGAUUUUUGUGAAGGAAAUGAAAGCGGGUGAGAAUUAUAGGAGCAGCUAAACGAUGAAGAAGAAGACGAAGUGGAGCAGGAAACAUGGUGCUGAUGAGUGAAGCUCUUCUGUAUAGUUGGAGCUGCCAGUAGCGUAGCCAUCUUUUUUCUUAAUACUUUGGGAUUUGAGUUUCUUUGAAUUUCACUCUUGAUGAUUGUUCUUGAUUCUUGAAGAUGAACAUGAAUGCUGUACAAACAGCCAUUUAGAGAGCCUUUUGUUAUUUAGUUAUUUAGUCGAGUAAAUAUUAUCUUAAUAUAAAGUAAUUAUUGAUACGAUGAAAG